This 450-nucleotide ribosomal RNA is filed under the name uncultured bacterium. RNAcentral's name for it is "partial 16S ribosomal RNA". It matches the Rfam family "Bacterial small subunit ribosomal RNA", at positions 338 to 795 of the family's 1533-position model. The record is from RNAcentral.
CCUACGGGGGGCAGCAGUAAGGAAUAUUGGUCAAUGGAGGAAACUCUGAACCAGCCAUCCCGCGUGAAGGAUGAAGGGGCUCUGCCUUGUAAACUUCUUUUGUCUGGGGCGAAAAAGCUCGAUUUAUCGAGAACUGACGGUACCAGUAGAAUAAGCACCGGCUAACUCCGUGCCAGCAGCCGCGGUAAUACGGAGGUUGCAAGCGUUAUCCGGAAUCACUGGUUUUAAGGGGUCUGAGGACGUCAGUGGUGAAAGGCUGUGGCUUAACCAUGGACUUGCCAUUGAUACUGCAGGGCUUGAAUGAGGUUGAGGUUGGCGGAAUGUGACAUGUAGCGGUGAAAUGCUUAGAUAUGUCAUGGAACACCGAUUGCGAAGGCAGCUGACUGGACCUAUAUUGACGCUGAGGCACGAAAGCGUGGGGAGCGAACAGGAUUAGAUACCCUAGUAGUC